Molecule: non-coding RNA, 45 nt
Filed under: Trichobilharzia regenti
Lineage: Eukaryota; Metazoa; Platyhelminthes; Trematoda; Strigeidida; Schistosomatidae
Source: RNAcentral
AUCCAGAUGACGAGUCCCAAAUAGGAUGAUAUACGCAUCCUGGAU